RNAcentral lists this ribosomal RNA (253 nucleotides) under uncultured bacterium. RNAcentral's name for it is "partial 16S ribosomal RNA". It matches the Rfam family "Bacterial small subunit ribosomal RNA", at positions 524 to 776 of the family's 1533-position model. The record is from RNAcentral.
UACGUAGGUGGCAAGCGUUGUCCGGAUUUAUUGGGUUUAAAGGGUGCGUAGGCGGCUUUGUAAGUCAGUGGUGAAAUACGGUAGCUCAACUAUCGAGGUGCCAUUGAUACUGCGGAGCUUGAGUACAGAUGAGGUAGGCGGAAUUGACGGUGUAGCGGUGAAAUGCUUAGAUAUCGUCAAGAACACCUAUAGCGAAGGCAGCUUACUAGGCUGUAACUGACGCUGAGGCACGAAAGUGUGGGGAGCAAACAGG